AACGAGCGCUGGCGGCGGGCCUCAUACAUGCAAGUCGAGCGCGAAAGUCCGCAAGGAUGAGUAAAGCGGCGCACGGGUGAGUAACACGUGGGUAAUCUACCUCGAGGAUUGGAAUAACACGUCGAAAGAUGUGCUAAUGCCAAGUAAGCUUCACGAAGCGUAAGGCUUUGUGUCGGAAAGCUGGCGCAAGCAAGCGCCUUGAGAUGAGCCUGCGUUCCAUUAGUUAGUUGGUGAGGUAAUGGCUUACCAAGACUACGAUGGAUAACUGGUCUGAGAGGAUGAUCAGUCACACUGGAACUGAAACACGGUCCAGACUCCUACGGGAGGCAGCAGUAGGGAAUAUUGCGCAAUGGGGGAAACCCUGACGCAGCCACGCCGCGUGGGUGAGGAAGGCCUUCGGGUCGUAAAGCCCUGUCGCCUGGGAAGAAACUACGAGUGGGGAAAGUUCAUUCGUAUUGACGGUACCAGGAGAGGAAGCACCGGCUAACUCUGUGCCAGCAGCCGCGGUAAUACAGAGGGUGCAAGCGUUGUUCGGAAUUACUGGGCGUAAAGCGUUUGUAGGCGGUUCUGAGAGUCCUAGGUGAAAUCCCCGAGCUUAACUCGGGAACUGCCUAGGAGACCUCAG
RNAcentral lists this ribosomal RNA (625 nucleotides) under uncultured bacterium. Its description in RNAcentral is "bacterial SSU rRNA". It matches the Rfam family "Bacterial small subunit ribosomal RNA", at positions 28 to 638 of the family's 1533-position model. The record is from RNAcentral.